GACUCCCCCCAGUUUGUGGUGCUGCUGGCCUCUCAAGAUGUCAGUGUGUUCUAAACACACACUAUCCAGUUCCACCUCCCACUCUGGAGCAUGGAAACUCAAGCAGUCCUGAAGUUUGCAGGCCAGCCUCCAUUUGAGCAUUUGCCCAUAAGAUUUUGUACUCAGAAUGGAGAUUGUUAUGUUGGAUACCAGAUGAUGCAGUUUUGUGAACCCCUGGAGCAGGAAAGUCGUGUUCAUCAUUGGCCGGCACAAAGUCCAGACCCAGUUCAUAGCAAUGAUUCUAAUGGUUAUGGAAGUCUUGGUGGCAAUGGGUCUUAGGAACGUUACAUCAGCAUAGCGUCCUCGAGUGACUCCAGUGGGAAUUGUGCUGAGGAAAUACAGCAGAACUAGUAAGUCUAUCAAUGUGACAUUGCCCAGGUAACAAUAGAAAUAUAAUAAUAAAACUGAAAAUUCUCACUGCA
Molecule: long non-coding RNA, 461 nt
Filed under: Gopherus agassizii (Agassiz's desert tortoise)
Lineage: Eukaryota; Metazoa; Chordata; Testudines; Testudinidae
Description: lncRNA (ENSGAGG00000016718.1)
Source: RNAcentral